Long non-coding RNA from Clupea harengus (Atlantic herring), 3071 nucleotides. NCBI's taxonomy places the organism in Eukaryota, Metazoa, Chordata, Actinopteri, Clupeiformes, Clupeidae. The record is from Ensembl.
AUCUAUUCCUUCUGAAUAUUUUUUUUUGCAAUACCACCUUACCCGCAGAGCUACAGCCUACUCUAGUCUAAGCAUAAAAGGAGCCUUCAAAUAUAUUUAUUGGGGUGGGGGUGGGAACUAGUGCAUUGUGUACAUUUCUAUUGCAGUAAAACCUAUAGGCUCUGAGGAGUGAAAGGUUUAAAAUAAAGAUUGGGAGCUGGAGCCUCAAUCAAUGUUUCUGCGCAGUGGGAGAUUGUCACAGCAGCUCUCCUUUACUUUUUUACCCUCCCCUCUCAGCAGCAACCACUGCAUUACCGCACGCUAACUCCUUGAUGCUAUAAAAGGCCAUGGAGCCUCAGCUGUGUUAUAGCUGCCAUGCCUUUGUGGCUGUGAGCAUUUGCUCAGUGGAUUAAACUAAAUUAACUCUGCACCUGUAUCUGACAAGUGCAGCUGUGUGUGAAAAUACAGAUCAUCUCUGACAGUGAGUUCCUAAAUUGUUCAUUCAUAUUCAAAGCCCCUGACACAUUAUAUAAUGGUAGCCACUGGACUAAAAAGUCCUUAACAUAUUAUGUCCUUAUCAUAAUUAUGUAAACAAAAAGAAGAAGAGACAAGACAAAGGUUUGGAUAAUCAAUAUGAAAAUACUUUUACUACUGUGACAAUGUAUGAGUUUUGCUUGUUAUGAGGGCAAACAUAAAAACAACAAAAAACUACUAAACAGUACUUGAUUGUAACAAAAGUCUUUGAUGCUUUUUUUUUUUUUUACCUUCAUUUUCCCCUCCUGAUCAUCAAAAAUGAGACAUCAAAUAAAAAAAGAAUAAAAUUAGAUGUAGACCACAAAAAAGAAAGUUUUACAAUAUUACACAAUAUUACACACUGACCCAGACCAUAGCCCUCCCUCAAAUGCGCCUACCACAGAAGAAGAGAUAGGGGUCACAGCAUAUCCAUCAGACAGCCAGAUAUGUAGUAUGCCUGGCUGCAGAAUGACAGCAGUUCCCAACAAUAGAAACCAAAAUAGAUAAACAAACAUGCCCUGGAGGAUAAAACCACACUCAAAAUAGAAAUCAUUUCCUUGCAGCAAAGCUUAAUGGCUUGACAAACCCAUGCUCAUGACACUAAAACAGAACACUUUUUGAUCCGUACCAUUUGGGUCUGUUAAGGGAAUUCCUUAAAUAUAAAUAGUUAUCUUGGGCAGAUAUGGGAGAAAUAUGUACUAGAAUUGAUAUGACGGCAGACCAACAGGAUGAUGGAGACGUUUAGAUAAGUGUGGCUUGUGAUGGCACUGGCCUUCAAAGUGAGAUACGGUAGUGUUGUCUCCCCCCUGUAUGGCACUUCAGCUGUUGCAAGAAUUGCAGGUGCACCUAGCAUCUUGCAAAUUGCAUUUUGCUCCAGGGUCAAGUGUUUCUGGCUUUUAGCUUUAUGGUUGUGUGACUGACAGAGGUGCCUUUCUCAUUUCUAAACUCACACAACAUCAGAACAAACAUUUCAGUGACCACCUAGCAACAGAGCUAUUAAACUGAGCUAACAAAUCACUAAAGCCUCUAGAAGAACAUUUCAAGGGUCAAACAGAAAGGUUGUCCUCUAACAUUGUAUGUAUCUGACCACAUUUAGUGCUGCUCUCAAUGUAUUUGGACAGGCAGUAAACAAACACACCUUUUGAAAUCCAGAGGAAUUCUGAAAUGGAGAAUACUCUGUCAAAAAUAUUAACUGAGACCCUGGAGGAUCUACUGUGGAUAUGCUGCACUGAAUUCACAAGUUAGAUACUUUAUAGAUAUAUUUUAUCCAGGGGGACAGAUCAAGACAAGGCUCUGCUACGUGGAUAAACCUCUUAAUUAAGUGACGCUUGAAUGCUUUUUGUUUCCAGUGUUUUUUCUUCUGCCUGCAAAGUUUCAGAUAAAUUGAAGAAGCCUAUCCCAGAAUGUAAAUGUUACUCUGUUUAUUCACAGAGAUUAGAUUUUCUUCAAAAGGAUGGGAGAUCACUUAUUUCCUCAGUUUGUAUUAUAAACCUGUUGGUAACUAGGAAGCAAAACCAUUGAAAGCAUUGAAGUACUGUGGUUCUGAAUGACAUGGUCCUUUUUGACCAAGUUAGACCAAGACACUGACACAACAGUGGCACAGUGUGGCAGUGAUGCAGGUAGCACCUCCACUUAAAUCAGGUAUUAUGCCAUUAGAGAACCUUUUUCAAGGCAAAAAAUGUCACCACCAGAGAGCCAUUAAAUCCAGCCAUUAAAUUAUUCUUUUUUAUUGUUUGACCUAAGGACUGAGUACCUGGUUAUAGUUAUCUCCUCUUUAUCCUCUUGGAUCAUAAAUGCAGAGGAAAUCAGCUCUAUGCAUUUAUCUGAUUCAGCAAGUGUGUGUAAGCAUCAAUGUGUGUGUGUGUGUGUGUGUGUGUGUGUGUGUGUGUGUGUGUGUGUGUGUGUGUGUGUGUGUGUGUUUGUGUGUGUAUACAUGUUUGUUUGUGCAGUUGUACUGUACACUUGGUGAGCAAUUCACAGGAAAUCAAGUAUGGGAAAUAUGAAGCUCUUUUUUCAGAUUUUGUCAGGCUGUAAUUACCGUGCCAAUGUAUCUGUCACAGAUGGAGCUCAUUUGCUUAAAAAACAACAGUGAAGUAAGCCUAGGGUGUGGACUGAAAUGAAUGGAGGGUGGUGUCUGCUGGUCAGAUGAUGAGCCUUUUGGGGACCCAACAGCACUGAAACAUUUCAGAUUUAGUAUUUAGCUGCAGACACACCCUGAAACACACACACACACACUGCAGAGGGGUGGAGGGCUGAUGGGGGACAGUGUUCUGCGGCUGGUGUUGGCAUGGUAACUACAUGAAAAAAAAGACAGGGGUAUUGUGUGCUCUUCCUCCAUGUUUGGCGCUCCUUCUCUUUGUUUCACAUCACUGAUGUCCAGCUUCAUCUGUGGACAGACAGGACAGGACAGGAGACUCAGAUCAGUACAUUCACAUUCACAUCAACAGCAAUCAUUUAUAUGUGACAGACAGGAACAGCAAGGUAUCAGCCUAUACCAAUAUUCAUAAUUCAUUUUAAAGACAUGUUGUAUGAAUGUGCAGCAGUGGACAUUAUGAGAAGAUACAAAUCAGUGCUGGGCU